AGGAUAAACGCUGGCGGCGUGCCUAAUGCAUGCAAGUCGAACGGAGUAGGCCUUCGGGCAUACUGAGUGGCGGACGGGUGAGGAACACGUACGAGACCUGCCCUCGGAUGGGGAAUAAGCCCUCGAAAGGGGGUCUAAUGCCGCACACGGUCCCAAGCAGCAAGGUUUGGGAGGAAAGCUCGAGAGGGCGUCCGAGGAGGGGCGUGCGGCCGAUUAGCUAGUUGGUGGGGUAAAGGCUUACCAAGGCGACGAUCGGUAGCUGGU
RNAcentral lists this ribosomal RNA (264 nucleotides) under uncultured bacterium. RNAcentral's name for it is "partial small subunit ribosomal RNA". It matches the Rfam family "Bacterial small subunit ribosomal RNA", at positions 26 to 291 of the family's 1533-position model. The record is from RNAcentral.